This 406-nucleotide ribosomal RNA is filed under the name uncultured bacterium. RNAcentral's name for it is "partial 16S ribosomal RNA". It matches the Rfam family "Bacterial small subunit ribosomal RNA", at positions 30 to 526 of the family's 1533-position model. The record is from RNAcentral.
AUUGAACGCUGGCGGCAGGCCUAACACAUGCAAGUCGAACGAGUGGCGGACGUGUGAGUAAUGUCUCGGAAACUGCAUGAUGGAGGGGGAUAACUACUGGAAACGGUAGCUACUACCGCAUACCAUCGGAUGUGUCCGGAUGGGAUUAGCUAGUAGGGGGGGUAAAGGCUCAACUAGGCGACGAUCCCUAGCGGGUCUGAGAGGAUGACCAGCCACACUGGAACGGAGACACGGCCCAGACGCCUACGGGAGGAAGCAGUGGGGAAUAUUGCACAAUGGGCGCAAGCCUGAUGCAGCCAUGCCGCGUGUAUGAAGAAGGUCUUCGGGUUGUAAAGUACUUUCAGCGGGGAGGCGUUACCCGCAGAAGAAGCACCGGCUAACUCCGUGCCAGCAGCCGCGGUAAUUC